UUUUGUAAAUACACACUAUGUUUACACAUAUGUGUAUCGGUUGCGUUGGUCUAUGAUUUGUGAGACAAAAGUAGCGGAAAAACGAGAUAUUGUGAUAUCCACAUCAUCUGCGGAUGACUUUGGUUAAUGAUUUAUGAGACAAAAGUAGCGGGAAAGCUAUUCAUUUGCGAUCCUUACAUCAUGUUAUGCACAUCAUCUGUGGUUAAAUAAUGUCUUCAGUAGGCGGUAGGCCAUGGGACAUAAUGUGUCGUGGCGUAGUUCCAGGCUACUGCUUAAACAAUUCAGUUUCACUAUGGGAUAUAGAUAAUGGGUGUCCACUUCCAUUCGAUGCAGCUGUUGAAUUAUUAAAAAUUCACACAAUUGGGAUUAUACGUGAUAUUGAAUGGCAUUCAAUUAGAGGGAUCGGUACGUUUGUAAUUGGAAUGUCACAUGCAAGACAACGAAAAGCGAGGACCUUCGAUGAUACAAAUUUAUUCACCUGGAAGAUAGAUGGUGGUGUUAAUAAUCGAUGGCGUGCUUAUCAUAAAGCUGGAUUCGAUGGCUUAAUAGUAUUAUGUGUAACUCCACAAUACGUCAUUCCUCCAAAUUCAACGAAUGUAAGUCCACAAGACUAUGCACUAGCAUUGGAGCAAAGAUUGGUUCAAAUCUUCUCUUUCAAUAUGAAUGAUUCUAGACUAGGAAACAUAUCAUUUUGCACCGGACAAAUGGCUAACCAUCCAUUUGCAGGAUUAGUUUAUAUGGCAUUUCAGUUUAUCUAAAACGCUUCACAGAGCAACAUGAUUUUGAACUUAAUACUUAAAGUAGAUAUAAUAAAGUUUUACGUUAAUUAAUUACUAUUAAGGGAGAAUAUAAUUGAACAUUUGGUCUAAACAAAUGCAAUGCGCAAACAAACAUUUUAAAAUGAAGAUAUUAUUUGAUGAAGUUUAGACAUUUCUUUUUUAUUGAAUGCUAGGAUGGUUUUACUUUCCAAUAAUCAUACAAUUUGUAUUCAUUGUAUAUGUCUCAUGUCAUACAAAGCAGAUCACGCAUCCAAGAAAAGAUCACCAUAAGACAUUACAGAAAAAGAAUAUUUUUUGUAUAAAAAUUCAUCGGAAUAUUAUCCAUGGAAACGGCUUGAAACCAGUAACACUAAUGUAACUGACAUUCAAAGUUGAAAAAAGAGAAUGAAUUAUAUUCAUAAUAUAUUUUUUUUCUAUUUUA
Mytilus californianus (California mussel) is the source of this 1200-nucleotide long non-coding RNA. RefSeq lists it as uncharacterized. The record is from RefSeq and is a predicted model, not a curated record. NCBI's taxonomy places the organism in Eukaryota, Metazoa, Mollusca, Bivalvia, Mytilida, Mytilidae. The transcript has 3 exons.